UACGUAGGCAGCGAGCGUUGUUCGGAGUUACUGGGCGUAAAGGGUGUGUAGGCGGUUGUUUAAGUUUGGUGUGAAAUCUCCCGGCUCAACUGGGAGGGUGCGCCGAAUACUGAAUGACUUCGAGUGCGGGAGAGGAGAGUGGAAUUCCUGGUGUAGCGGUGAAAUGCGUAGAUAUCAGGAGGAACACCGGUGGUGUUGACGGCUCUCUGGACCGUAACUGACGCUGAGACACGAAAGCGUGGGUAGCAAACAGG
Molecule: ribosomal RNA, 254 nt
Filed under: uncultured bacterium
Lineage: Bacteria
Description: partial 16S ribosomal RNA
Rfam family: Bacterial small subunit ribosomal RNA
Source: RNAcentral